RNAcentral lists this non-coding RNA (122 nucleotides) under Stygamoeba regulata. The record is from RNAcentral. Lineage: Eukaryota; Discosea; Stygamoebida.
CCGGCUGCUGGUGCAGGCCCAGGACGUGGUCUACUACGAGAUGCGCAUCUCGGCGCUGCCUCGCUUCUUGCAGUACCACCGCGAGAAGAAGUACAAUCUGCAAAAGGCAUCUUCGUUGUCGA